Long non-coding RNA from Bombus terrestris (buff-tailed bumblebee), 777 nucleotides. RefSeq lists it as uncharacterized. NCBI's taxonomy places the organism in Eukaryota, Metazoa, Arthropoda, Insecta, Hymenoptera, Apidae. The record is from RefSeq and is a predicted model, not a curated record. The transcript is spliced from 2 exons.
ACCAACGAAAUAUUGGAUUACAGUUUCGAUCGGUGGAAACGAACUAUUGAUAGAGAUAUUCGAUUUGCAAUCGCUUGUUUCAUUGUAUUUGAAUGUAAUUCGACGUUGUUGGUCGAUUCGUAAUCGAUAGAGAGGAACGAGUCGAUUUAAAAUUGCGGUCAGAGUUAAUUUGAAUCGUGAAAUGUUUGAAACGGAAGAGUAAUUCAUGAUUAGUAUUUAAUCGGAAUGUUAAAUGUAUAGAUCGCGAAAUUAAACGUUCUCUCCGAGCCUUGAAAUUGUAACAAAGAAUCUUCAGAACUCUUUGAAGAGACAGGACGUGAAUAUCCUGUGGAAAAAUGGGAUUACUCGGAUUUUCAAAGGAUUUAUAGGAUCGCGCGAAUUUUUUUAAUGCCACCGGAUAUGUUCGCCUUGCGUCCAUUCGAGAAACAAAAGGAACGGAUAUCGAUAACAACGGGGGUAACAGGAAUGAGAUGUACCCGUUAAUGGACACGAACGUUUGCACAUCGGUUUUACUGCUAUGGAAUUAAAUCGCGUGACAAUCGUCACGUCGAAGGCAUCGGUGCACUGUAUUAAUGUCGAUGACGAUCGGAAUUUCAAACAUUCCCGUGCAUAGAAACAAAAUUGAGAUAACAAAAUUCAUUUAAUUUUCCCAAAGGAAUACGAAAGAUAUAUAUCUUUCAUCUAACAUACAAAGUCCUCGAGAAAUCCUUAUUCAAUUACGUAUUCUCUUUUCAGGUGUUUAAACGUUUAAAUGAAUACGUCAGUGCUUGUAUUCGG